ACACCGGCAGCUCAAGUGGUAGCCGCUUUUAUUGGGCCUAAAGCGUCCGUAGCCGGUCUGAUAAGUCUCUGGUGAAAUCCCACAGCUUAACUGUGGGAAUUGCUGGAGAUACUAUCAUGACUCGAGGUCGGGAGAGGCUGGAGGUACUCCCAGGGUAGGGGUGAAAUCCUGUAAUCCUGGGAGGACCACCUGUGGCGAAGGCGUCCAGCGGGAACGAACCUGACGGUGAGGGACGAAAGCCAGGGGCGCGAACCGGAUUAGAUACCCGGGUAGUCCUGGCCGUAAACGAUGUGGACUUGGUGUUGGGAUGGCUUCGAGCUGCCCCAGUGCCGAAGGGAAGCUGUUAAGUCCACCGCCUGGGAAGUACGGCCGCAAGGCUGAAACUUAAAGGAAUUGGCGGGG
This 402-nucleotide ribosomal RNA is filed under the name uncultured bacterium. RNAcentral's name for it is "partial 16S ribosomal RNA". It matches the Rfam family "Archaeal small subunit ribosomal RNA", at positions 473 to 873 of the family's 1478-position model. The record is from RNAcentral.